RNAcentral lists this ribosomal RNA (497 nucleotides) under uncultured bacterium. RNAcentral describes it as "partial 16S ribosomal RNA". It matches the Rfam family "Bacterial small subunit ribosomal RNA", at positions 28 to 507 of the family's 1533-position model. The record is from RNAcentral.
GAUGAACGCUGGCGGCGUGCCUAAUACAUGCAAGUCGAGCGAACGGACGAGAAGCUUGCUUUUCUGAUGUUAGCGGCGGACGGGUGAGUAACACGUGGAUAACCUACCUAUAAGACUGGGAUAACUUCGGGAAACCGGAGCUAAUGCCGGAUAAUAUUUUGAACCGCAUGGUUCAAAAGUGAAAGCCGGUCUUGCUGUCACUUAUAGAUGGAUCCGCGCUGCAUUAGCUAGUUGGUAAGGUAACGGCCUACCAAGGCAACGAUGCGUAGCCGGCCUGAGAGGGCGAUCGGCCACACUGGAACUGAGACACGGUCCAGACUCCUACGGGAGGCAGCAGUAGGGAAUCUUGCGCAAUGGGCGAAAGCCUGACGGAGCAACGCCGCGUGAGUGAUGAAGGUCUUCGGAUCGUAAAACUCUGUUAUUAGGGAAGAACAUAUGUGUAAGUAACUGUGCACAUCUUGACGGUACCUAAUCAGAAAGCCACGGCUAACUACGUG